Molecule: long non-coding RNA, 1393 nt
Filed under: Triticum aestivum (bread wheat)
Lineage: Eukaryota; Viridiplantae; Streptophyta; Magnoliopsida; Poales; Poaceae
Description: long non-coding RNA (TAES_LNC026069)
Rfam family: Small nucleolar RNA Z119 (bases 263-357)
Source: RNAcentral
AAGGAGAUGAUGAAUUUCAGAGGCUGUUUCUGAGGUUGAGCCCAGAGCUCUACUAUGUUGCAAAAUAACUGAUUUGCCUAUCUGAUCCAACUUACUAUUCAAACACUUUCAUUUUCUUUUCUUUAUUUUGCUGAGGAGAUGAUGAAUAUCAGAGGCUGUUUCUGAGGAUGAGCUCAGAGCUCUACCUAUGUUGCAAAAGUACUGAUUUGCCUAUCUGAUCCAAAUUACCAUUCAAAUACUUUAUAUUUUCUCUUCUAUUUUGCCUAGGAGAUGAUGAAUAUCAGAGGCUGUUUCUGAGGAUGAGCCUAGAGCUCUCCAUGUGUUGCAAAAUUACUGAUUUGCCUAUCUGAUCCAAAGCACUACUAGGUAGAAUUUUUUUGGGCUACUGGUGAGAAGCUGUAUGUAGGCUAUGCUUGCUAUCUUGGCUGUUGUGUCAAUUUGUUUUACCUUCAUUGGGGAAAUGAUGAUUAAUUCUUCAGAUAUGUCCUAAAUGGGCUUUUAAAAGAAUGGUGACAAAUUGCACGUCAGUCUGAUCCCCUAUGGUUUUUUACUAAUUUGUUAGUAGUAUCCACUUUUAUAUGGGAAAUGAUGAUUAUUUCAUCUCAGAUGUCCUUUAUGGAUAAUUCAGAAUGAUGAGAAAUUGCACGUCAGUCUGAUCCCAAACUGUAGUUAAACUGUUACUAAUUUAUGUUGAUCUGUCACUAGUUGAUUUAUGUUGAUUGUCCACCAAAUAAUUGGUUUGCCCUUCUCAACUGUGAUGAACAUUCCUAUAAUAGUCAACUAGCAUCGUUGUGAUCAGUCAAACUAAUUUGGACCCUUGCACUGUUGUUUGUGGCAGGAGGAGCUAGGAACUGAAUAUCUGGUGCAGCCGCUUGGCCGUGCUGAAGACGAAGAGCAUUCCAGUGACUUUGAGCCAGAAGAAAAUGGUGAUGGUGCUGAGGACGAGGAGAUUGAGGAUGAUGAUGCUGAGGAUGGUGAGGAUUCUGUCAAGGCGCAAUCCUCUUCGAAGAGGAAGAGGUCUGGCGCGGAGGAUGAAGAUGAUGAUGACGGUGAUGAUGAUGGUGAUGAUGAUGAGAAGCCUCCAUCAAAGCGAUAGUCAAUUUGUUCUUGCUGAUCUGGUAUCUUUUCUGCUUGGGCCAAGAAGGAAAAUAAUCCUCACGGAGAGGGUUGUUGGUAAAUGCUGUAGCUUUAGGACAUCUGUGGUAGGUGUAGCAGCUCGAACUUGAGUCUACCCAUGUUAGUUGUUAGUGCAUACUGCUGAUGUUGAUUAACAGCCUCGGGGAACUUCUGUAUGAGCAUUAGAUAUGGGGCUUGUUAUAUGCUUGUGUAGCUUCUGAUUAAAACCUGUGGAAUGUGGAUGCUCUGUUCUGAAUCUUGUUUUCAUGAUAUUUCU